GACGAACUUUGGCGGCGUGCUUAACACAUGCAAGUCGAACGGAAAGGCCCUGCUUUUGUGGGGUGCUCGAGUGGCGAACGGGUGAGUAACACGUGAGUAACCUGCCCUUGACUUUGGGAUAACUUCAGGAAACUGGGGCUAAUACCGGAUAGGAGCUCCUGCUGCAUGGUGGGGGUUGGAAAGUUUCGGCGGUUGGGGAUGGACUCGCGGCUUAUCAGCUUGUUGGUGGGGUAGUGGCUUACCAAGGCUUUGACGGGUAGCCGGCCUGAGAGGGUGACCGGCCACAUUGGGACUGAGAUACGGCCCAGACUCCUACGGGAGGCAGCAGUGGGGAAUAUUGCACAAUGGGCGGAAGCCUGAUGCAGCAACGCCGCGUGCGGGAUGACGGCCUUCGGGUUGUAAACCGCUUUCGCCUGUGACGAAGCGUGUGUGACGGUAAUGGGUAAAGAAGCACCGGCUAACUACGUGCCAGCAGCCGCGGUGAUACGUAGGGUGCGAGCGUUGUCCGGAUUUAUUGGGCGUAAAGGGCUCGUAGGUGGUUGAUCGCGUCGGAAGUGUAAUCUUGGGGCUUAACCCUGAGCGUGCUUUCGAUACGGGUUGACUUGAGGAAGGUAGGGGAGAAUGGAAUUCCUGGUGGAGCGGUGGAAUGCGCAGAUAUCAGGAGGAACACCAGUGGCGAAGGCGGUUCUCUGGGCCUUUCCUGACGCUGAGGAGCGAAAGCGUGGGGAGCGAACAGGCUUAGAUACCCUGGUAGUCCACGCUGUAAACGGUGGGUACUAGGUGUGGGGUCCAUUCCACGGGUUCCGUGCCGUAGCUAACGCUUUAAGUACCCCGCCUGGGGAGUACGGCCGCAAGGCUAAAACUCAAAGGAAUUGACGGGGCCCCGCACAAGCGGCGGAGCAUGCGGAUUAAUUCGAUGCAACGCGUAGAACCUUACCUGGGUUUGACAUGGAUCGGGAGUGCUCAGAGAUGGGUGUGCCUCUUUUGGGGUCGGUUCACAGGUGGUGCAUGCCUGUCGUCAGCUCGUGUCGUGAGAUGUUGGGUUAAGUCCCGCAACGAGCGCAACCCUUGUUCACUGUUGCCAGCACGUUAUGGUGGGGACUCAGUGGAGACCGCCGGGGUCAACUCGGAGGAAGGUGGGGAUGACGUCAAGUCCUCAUGCCCCUUAUGUCCAGGGCUUCACGCAUGCUACAAUGGCUGGUACAGAGAGUGGCGAGCCUGUGAGGGUGAGUGAAUCUCGGAAAGCCGGUCUCAGUUCGGAUUGGGGUCUGCAACUCGACCUCAUGAAGUCGGAGUCGCUAGUAAUCGCAAAACAGCAACUCUGCUGUUGAAUACGUUCCCGGGGCC
This 1347-nucleotide ribosomal RNA is filed under the name uncultured bacterium. RNAcentral's name for it is "bacterial SSU rRNA". It matches the Rfam family "Bacterial small subunit ribosomal RNA", at positions 28 to 1381 of the family's 1533-position model. The record is from RNAcentral.